This 539-nucleotide ribosomal RNA is filed under the name uncultured bacterium. RNAcentral describes it as "bacterial SSU rRNA". It matches the Rfam family "Bacterial small subunit ribosomal RNA", at positions 361 to 909 of the family's 1533-position model. The record is from RNAcentral.
AUCUUCGGCAAUGGGCGCAAGCCUGACCGAGCGACGCCGCGUGUGCGAUGAAGGCCCUUCGGGUUGUAAAGCACUGUCGAGAGGAAGCAAGCCGCAAGGUUGAGCGACCUCUGGAGGAAGCACGGGCUAAGUUCGUGCCAGCAGCCGCGGUAAGACGAACCGUGCGAACGUUGUUCGGAAUCACUGGGCUUAAAGGGCGCGUAGGCGGGAUGGCAAGUCGGAGGUGAAAGCCCCCAGCUUAACUGGGGAAGUGCCCUCGAUACUGCCGUUCUCGAGAGAGGUAGGGGCGUGUGGAACUUCCGGUGGAGCGGUGAAAUGCGUAGAUAUCGGAAGGAACGCCGGUGGCGAAAGCGAUGCGCUGGACCUUUUCUGACGCUGAGGCGCGAAAGCCAGGGUAGCGAACGGGAUUAGAUACCCCGGUAGUCCUGGCCCUAAACGAUGGGUACUGGGUUGCGGGUCAGACAUGGACUCGCAGCCGAAGCAAAAGUGGUAAGUACCCCGCCUGGGGAGUAUGGUCGCAAGGCUGAAACUCAAAGGAA